AUUGAACGCUGGCGGCAGGCUUAACACAUGCAAGUCGAGCGGGGUGAUGGUGCUUGCACUAUCACUUAGCGGCGGACGGGUGAGUAAUGCUUAGGAAUCUGCCUAUUAGUGGGGGACAACAUCUCGAAAGGGAUGCUAAUACCGCAUACGUCCUACGGGAGAAAGCAGGGGAUCACUUGUGACCUUGCGCUAAUAGAUGAGCCUAAGUCGGAUUAGCUAGUUGGUGGGGUAAAGGCCUACCAAGGCGACGAUCUGUAGCGGGUCUGAGAGGAUGAUCCGCCACACUGGGACUGAGACACGGCCCAGACUCCUACGGGGGGCAGCAGUGGGGAAUAUUGGACAAUGGGGGGAACCCUGAUCCAGCCAUGCCGCGUGUGUGAAGAAGGCCUUAUGGUUGUAAAGCACUUUAAGCGAGGAGGAGGCUCUUUUGGCUAAUACCCAAGAUGAGUGGACGUUACUCGCAGAAUAAGCACCGGCUAACCCUGUGCCAGCCGCCGCCGUAA
This 503-nucleotide ribosomal RNA is filed under the name uncultured bacterium. RNAcentral describes it as "partial 16S ribosomal RNA". It matches the Rfam family "Bacterial small subunit ribosomal RNA", at positions 30 to 523 of the family's 1533-position model. The record is from RNAcentral.